UAACCUGCCUUGUAGCGGGGGAUAACUAUUGGAAACGAUAGCUAAUACCGCAUAACAAUGGAUGACACAUGUCAUUUAUUUGAAAGGGGCAAUUGCUCCACUACAAGAUGGACCUGCGUUGUAUUAGCUAGUAGGUGAGGUAACGGCUCACCUAGGCGACGAUACAUAGCCGACCUGAGAGGGUGAUCGGCCACAUUGGGACUGAGACACGGCCCAG
RNAcentral lists this ribosomal RNA (217 nucleotides) under uncultured bacterium. RNAcentral describes it as "partial 16S ribosomal RNA". It matches the Rfam family "Bacterial small subunit ribosomal RNA", at positions 122 to 334 of the family's 1533-position model. The record is from RNAcentral.